GAUUGAUUUAAAAGACUGCUUUUA
Molecule: non-coding RNA, 24 nt
Filed under: Cricetulus griseus (Chinese hamster)
Lineage: Eukaryota; Metazoa; Chordata; Mammalia; Rodentia; Cricetidae
Source: RNAcentral